Trifolium pratense (red clover) is the source of this 1522-nucleotide long non-coding RNA. RefSeq lists it as uncharacterized. The record is from RefSeq and is a predicted model, not a curated record. NCBI's taxonomy places the organism in Eukaryota, Viridiplantae, Streptophyta, Magnoliopsida, Fabales, Fabaceae. The transcript is spliced from 2 exons.
AAACCCCACUACUAGAAAACUCAGCUUUAGCGACCAAUUUAGAGACCGAUUUUGAUGAAAAUCGGUCUCUAAAUCCAUUAGCGACCGAAAUAGCGACCGAAAAAAAUCGGCAUCAAUGACCCUGGUCGCUGAUCAGUGGUGACCACCCCAGCGACCGAUUUUGUAGCGACUGAAUAGUUGUUUGAUUGCAAUUUCUUGUUGCUAUUGUUUCCUUUUCUGUUUCUGGUGCUGUGUUGCAAAGAGAUUAUUGCAAUUUCCAUAUUAUUAUUAUUAUUAUUAUUAUUAUUUUCUCUUCUAGUUGUUGUGUAGUGAUGAGAGAUGUUGAGUUGAGUAUAAUUUUAAUUUGUUGGAAUAUUACAUAUUCUCUUUUUUCCACAUUUUAACAGUUUUUAAUUUGGUGGAUUAGUAUCUAUUUUAAAUUAUUCUUAUAAUAUAAUUUUGGGGAAGCAACUUUAUACAUAGAGGCUAUGAAUCUUAUGAUGAUUACUAUGGUUUUGGUUCUGUGUUUUUUACUCUAUUAUCAUUACAGGUUCACAGGAAAUUGGACCUUAUCUUGUGGUUGGUUUACAUAUCUGAUAAUGCUAUAUUAGGCUUUCAUUAUCAUUUAUUAAUACUCUGCAACUCAUAAUAAUAAGUGUAUUACUGUUGUAAUGCAGCCACAACAAUUAUCACAAUAGAUGAUAAGUAUUGCUUUGUCCUGGUUUGUUGUUGUUAGUUUUGGGAGAUUGUUUCGUUUUAGUUUGUUUGAAAAGAUCGAAGCAUGCCGUUUGUGUUUUCCUUGCUAUAGGGUGUUAUUCAAGAACUGGUUGUUUAGUUCCAGUUCUUCCUUUAUAUACCAGUUCAAAUCAGUUUGGUUUUGCGAGAGGUCAAGGUGAUGGACUCUCAAAAUAUGUCAAGUUUGAAAGAAAUUGGUUUUUGAUAAUAAUGUCUUUCUUUUAUUUGAUAACAUACCUUAAUUAAUUAAGAUAGUAACGUGUUUGCAAAUUAGUCUCAUCUGAUAUUUAGAUUUUGUUGUGUUGUUUAGUGUCAUGUUAUUUUGCAUUUGAAUUAUAUCUCUCAAUGCUACAUAUAUAGACCCUUAGUAAGUUGAUUAAUAUGUUUGAAUUAUUAAUUAUAUCUCUCGUGAUUUUAGGCCGUACAAAAUGCUGCUUAUAAGCUGAUUGGCAUGUUGUCUAUAUAGUGUGCAAUAUGUCACAAUCUACGGAAGUUGUUCAUGAGUGUUGGAAAAGUGAACUUCACAUGUCUAUAUAACUGGUUUAUAUAGAAUUAGAAGAGUCUGCAACUCUGCAUCAAUAUACUUUGUUGGAACUGAAGUUUUACAUUGAGAAAAGUAUUAUUGACUAGACAUUCACAUAUUCAUUAUUGUGUUGGUUCUUAGUGUGUGUUAGAAUUGUAAUUAGUUUGUAGUUAGUUUAGUUACUUAUUUCUUCAUGAGUGAUAUUAUACCCCUUAAAUUAGUUUGUAAAUUUGUUCUUAUGUAAUUUAAAUUGGGCAAAAUAAAUUACUCUCAUUUGGAUAUUUG